Molecule: ribosomal RNA, 397 nt
Filed under: uncultured bacterium
Lineage: Bacteria
Description: bacterial SSU rRNA
Rfam family: Bacterial small subunit ribosomal RNA
Source: RNAcentral
AACGAACGUUGGCGGCGUGGAUGAGGCAUGCAAGUCGAACGCGAAAGCCGCAAGGCGAGUAAAGUGGCGGACGGGCGAGUAACACGUAAUCAAGCUACCUGCGAGACGGGGAUAACUUCGGGAAACCGAAGCUAAGACCCGAUGGUCUUCUAGGAACGCAUGUUCCAUGAAGUAAAUGGGCGGGAUCCUCCGGGAUCGCCUGCUCGCAGAGGUGAUUGCGGCCCAUCAGCUAGUUGGUAGGGUAAUGGCCUACCAAGGCAACGACGGGUAGCCGGCCUUAGAGGGUGGUCGGCCGCACUGGGACUGAGACACUGCCCAGACUCCUACGGGAGGCUGCAGUCGAGAAUAUUCCCCAAUGGCCGAAAGGCUGAGGGAGCGACGCCGCGUGCAGGAAUAA